Molecule: ribosomal RNA, 404 nt
Filed under: Fusobacteriota bacterium
Lineage: Bacteria; Fusobacteriati; Fusobacteriota
Description: Fusobacteria bacterium partial 16S ribosomal RNA
Rfam family: Bacterial small subunit ribosomal RNA
Source: RNAcentral
UGGGGAAUAUUGCACAAUGGGCGAAAGCCUGAUGCAGCGACGCCGCGUGAGUGAAGAAGUAUUUCGGUAUGUAAAGCUCUAUCAGCAGGGAAGAAAAUGACGGUACCUGACUAAGAAGCCCCAGCUAACUACGUGCCAGCAGCCGCGGUAAUACGUAGGGGGCAAGCGUUAUCCGGAUUUACUGGGUGUAAAGGGAGCGUAGACGGCGAAGCAAGUCUGAAGUGAAAACCCAGGGCUCAACCCUGGGACUGCUUUGGAAACUGUUUUGCUAGAGUGUCGGAGAGGUAAGUGGAAUUCCUAGUGUAGCGGUAAAAUGCGUCUAUAUUAGGAGGAACACCAGUGGCGAAGGCGGCUUACUGGACGAUAACUGACGUUGAGGCUCGAAAGCGUGGGGAGCAAACAGG